AGCUCCUCUCCAAAAUCCGCCGCCGAAAGGCGGUCAUGAUAUCCCAACCCUUGCAAACGGUUCAUCCUGCUAAAUCCGGCGGCGGUGGCAACUCUUCGCCGGCGAACUCCGGCGAGGACAUCGGAUCGACUUCGACCUCCUCACCGGAUUCCAAGAAUCCGGGAUCCGUGGAGAUGGGAACGGUCGCACAAUUCGCCGAUCUGACUGAGGAGAACG
This 216-nucleotide unclassified non-coding RNA is filed under the name Hevea brasiliensis (rubber tree). Lineage: Eukaryota; Viridiplantae; Streptophyta; Magnoliopsida; Malpighiales; Euphorbiaceae. The record is from RNAcentral.